CAAUGAUAUUGUUUGAUCAGGAUAUCUACAGUGGCUGGUUACCUUCCUUCAGAUGUUCAUGGUUGUUCUGCUUUUAAUUUUAUGCUCGGAGAGGACCUACCCUGGACCACUCUAGCAUUAAGAUCAAUGUUCGCUAGUGGUAAUGGUGAAGGUUUAACUACAUACAGAUUACGCACAAAGGCUGGAGCCUGGAUCAAUCUUCAGUCACGUGGUUUUCUCGAGAUCAACAAGGAAACUGGAAAUAUUGAUCACUUCUUGUGUAUCAAUACAUUACUGAGUGACGAGGAGGCUGAGAGAAAUCUAGAGGAGCAAAGAGAGAGAUAUACUCCAUUCAUUACAGAGCUUCAAUACACGGGAAUACAGGGACUAGAGAAACUGGGGAACGGAGGAGCAUUAUCCUUAUCCAUCCCUGAUAUAGGAAAAGAGUUGAAUCGAAUGAUUAAAGCGGAUCCAGGUGUGGUUCAACCUAGAAAUUCUAAACUUACUUUUAAGGAUGUGUCAGGAUUUUCUUCUAGAUCUGAAUCUAUGUCGCACUCUAGCACGCUAAUAUCUAGAAUAGAAAAGACUGAAUUAGGGAAGAGUUUAACCCGACGAAGUGUCCUGGACCUUCAGGAGAGUGGAGAUGAGAAAUACGACAGAGAGAGAAAGGAAAGAUCGAUCAAACCUGAGCCUGAACCUGUAGAAUCAAAACUAUCCCGACAAGAACUUGUGGCUCGAGCAAUAGGAAUAAAAAGAGGGGGCUCAGCGCCCAGACCAGGAACUGGGAAAGGAGGAGGUGUUAGUAAAGGAAAGAGUUCUUAUUGUAGUAGCGCUAAUCCAGCGGCAUUGGCGCACAGUCCUGGCGGUAUAAAACGGAAACACGAGUCGGAUAAUUGGAGAAUUACCAAACCUACUCCUACUGCGGAGUUUCUCGGUCUUCAAGACAAUGAUGCAAUUCUGAAUCAAAUUCUGCUCUUGUCACAAGACGGUGUGGAGGCCGGGAGUUUCCUCAAACAUGAAAACGAAUUGGAAACGGGAAAAUCUGAUGAUUUUGGAGAUGUCAAGAUCGAGGAUUUUCUUGACUUCGGAUCAACAAAACCACAAAGAACUCCGCAGGGGUCAGACGCUCUUAAACCUGAAACCAAUCAUGACUUAGAUCUCUAUGGAAGUAGACAAGCUGCUGCAAACAUGGAUAAUAUAAGUUCUGGCCCGGCAGAUCCAAGUUUUACCAUUUACCCAUCUCAACCUUUUAAUUGUACAAUCUUUAAACCAAAAGAUGAAAGCGAAGUGCCCUCUGCAUUUGUAAAAAUGGAUUUUCCAAAUACAAGUUUACUCAGAGACAAUAUGGAGACUUUAGAGAACAGUUUGUUUCCUAUAUCGGGCAGCAUGGAGACGGGGUUUAGCAGAACCUCAUAUCUUGCAACUCCUUUAAAUACCAGCAGCCUGUCCUACGAGGGACGGGAGAGAUCACCAGAAACUAGUUUAAGAGAAACAUCAGUUAUUAAGAGACUUAAGGGGGCAUCCAAUGAAGAGGAGAAACGUGAAAUUCCAUUAAGACGAGAUAUUGAUGGAUUAAAUUCAACAUUCACCUUUCAUCCAGAGAGCUGAUGAAUGGUUAGAUGUACAUUGUACAGUAUAGUUCUUCACUUGAAACAGUACCGUAUACUGUACUAUUCAUGUACUCAACUACAAUGGUAAACAAAUUGGUUUUAUAUUUAUCAAUGUUAGAUUAUCGUUACAUGCAUGUACUUGUACACUGUACAAUGCACUAUCCUGUUAUUGUACAAUUUGCAUGUACUGGGUAGUGGGUAGUUAUACUAGCAUUACACCAUGUACAGUGUGUUUGUGUAUAUUGUAAACAAUUCCACAAGUACAUGUAAACUUGUGUUAGUAGAAAAAAUUGCUCUAUGUAACAUGAGUUUACAAUUCAUUAUGUACAGUGUAAUGUAAAAUGCCAAGUACCUGUAUAAUAUUGAAGUCAUGACUGAACUAUUAAAUUAAAUUGUAACUUAUGAACUGCAAUUUAUUCAUUACAGAUUUAAACAAAUAUAAAAAUAUGUUAUUUUGUUAUAAUUGUUAAUUGUUAAAUGUUUCUAAAACUGGUGAACUAUUUGUUAAAAAAAUUGAGUCGAUCCUAUGGUCAACAUUUUUAAUUUUUAACUUUAAUUUAUCAAUUAAAUUUUUCAAUUCCAUGAUAAGCCCACUUUCGAAUGCAUUGACAGAUGCCGGUUUGGUCAGAUUACACUUUGCUAUACAAACUCAUUUUUACCUGAGUACAUUACAGUACAGUACAGUACAGUACAGUACAGUACAGUACAGUGCUAUUGCGAACUAAAUACAAAUGUAAAGCUUUGAAUAUAAUUCAUUAACGGCUAAUUAGAAAUGUACUGCAGUAAAUGUAAUUCACUGUACGGGUAUGAAUUUGAUUCAAUAAAUAAUUAAAAUUUAAA
Molecule: unclassified non-coding RNA, 2429 nt
Filed under: Eurytemora carolleeae
Lineage: Eukaryota; Metazoa; Arthropoda; Copepoda; Calanoida; Temoridae
Description: uncharacterized LOC111706480
Source: RNAcentral